Nerophis lumbriciformis (worm pipefish) is the source of this 1760-nucleotide long non-coding RNA. RefSeq lists it as uncharacterized. NCBI's taxonomy places the organism in Eukaryota, Metazoa, Chordata, Actinopteri, Syngnathiformes, Syngnathidae. The record is from RefSeq and is a predicted model, not a curated record.
AUUUGUCCCGGGAGGUUUUCGGGUGAGGCGCUGAAUUUCGGGAGUCUCCCGGAAAAUUCGGGAGGGUUGGCAAGUAUGAGUUAGCUCCAUCUUUUGACACUUCUUCCACUCCCGUCCUUGCACGCUACACCACUACAACAAAGAUGACGGCGAGAAGACGCUGCCGAAGGUGAGCCACGUAAAUAAGACCGCCCACAAAACGGCGCAUCUGGUAGCGACUGUCAGAAAGCGACUUGAAGAUGAUCUGUAAAACUUCAUCUAUGCAACAUUUUGACCAAAGAACCACCAUUACAUGUUAUGUAGACCACAAGGAAGCCUUUUACAUUUAGGAAAAAAUAUAUAUUAUAUGACCCUUUUAAUGCGCCCUAUAAUCUGGUGCGCCUUUUGUAUGAAAAUAGACCUGACUACACUCUUAAAAACGAAUGUGUUGGACAUCAACACGUUUUGUGUAAUGAUGAUUUCAACAAAUGUUGUGUUAAGUCACAGGAUUUUCCUGAGGGGAAAGUUACACAGACAUUCUACACAACAUUGUGUCAUGAGCUUUGGCCAAUCAGCUGGAAUGUUUGAAAAAAAAAAAAAAAAAGUCAGCUACAUCAAACUCGACGUUUUAAGCACGUUUGCCCGCCCGUCCCGCCUUUUCCUGGAUCUAUGUGGCCAUUACCGGACCUGCGACUGUAUCAGUCCACAUUUCUUAAUGAAGGUGUAGAUUUGUUUUAAAAUCACACUGAUCAAGAGUGAACAUUUGCAACGGAACUUGUGAUGUGUUGCCCUCCAAAAAGUGGAAGCAACACUCAAGGCAGGCAAAGAAGGCACUACAUUGCAAUGUUGGUUCCUGUAAAAUUUGGUCAAACCCAGAGAUACGUUAGAGUGGCUGAAACUGAAGGGGGCUUUGACCAUUUUGGCACGUUUAUUGAGAAGGUCAUAGAUAAGCUGGGUCUUCCACUUGAGACUCAGCUUUCAUUGACCAAUGGGACGGGAACAGAAGUGGAUGCUGAUGUGUUUGAGGACCUGUUAAAAAUGGCAAACCUUACCAUAAAUGUGUCUGCAGAAAGGUCAACAGGUAAGCUGACAACUGCUGUUAAAAUUUACCAGUAUAUACACUUUCCUUUCGUCUUCUAGUUGAUUUUUCAAUUAAGCUUGGCUUUUUGUUUUGCAGGUUUGUUUCCACAAGUUAGCUAACAUUACUAAGGUAAGGCUUGAUAGUAAGAAGGUAUCCACAAUGUCAAUUAAACUGUUUGACAAAACUGCACUGGUUGACUUUAAAACUAUUCAUGGUUUCUUUUGGGUAUGUUAUCAUCUCAAUUUUAAAUUCCCUUUUUUAAGUUUUUAAUCUGUCCAUAUGUUGCAUAGGUAUUAAAGGCCAUUUCCAGUCAUAGUCAAUGUUGUUUCAGAAAUCAAGUCAGUUAAUCUCAUGCCAUGUAAACAUAUUUGCACUGGACUAAUAAUGGAUCAUAGUGGUUCAAAAUGUCUUAAAAUGUAGCCUGUUCAAACUAUGUGUAUUAUAAUUUCUGUUAGGCUAUGAUUAAAUUUUUAUUAUUUUACACUAAGUGCUGCUUUGACUCUUUUUCUUGUUAAACUUGCACGUGAACUUCUUUUUGGACAAUUUUGCAGCCGAAUACGCCAAAUUCAUAUAACAUGACAUAGACCAACGUAUGACUCAGAGUCAUAUAACUUGGUUUUCAGCUAUAAGGUGUAAUGCAAUCGCCGCUCGUGUUGAUUACCAAACCGUAUCUUAGAACCGUAGGCUGAACAGCUAUAAG